UUUAGCCUUUGGGGUAGGGUUAAUUUCCCAACCGGCGGUAAAGUCCGCGAGCGUUAAGCAUGAACCGGUGCAAUUCCGGUACCGACAGUAAAGUCUGGAUGAGAAAAGGCAAAA
This is a regulatory RNA element of Phascolarctobacterium sp. CAG:266, 114 nucleotides long. It matches the Rfam family "FMN riboswitch aptamer (RFN element)". Rfam says of the family: The RFN element is a highly conserved domain that is found frequently in the 5'-untranslated regions of prokaryotic mRNAs that encode for flavin mononucleotide (FMN) biosynthesis and transport proteins. This element is a metabolite-dependent riboswitch that directly binds FMN in the absence of proteins. Lineage: Bacteria; Bacillati; Bacillota; Negativicutes; Acidaminococcales; Acidaminococcaceae. The record is from Rfam.